This 436-nucleotide ribosomal RNA is filed under the name uncultured Lachnospiraceae bacterium. RNAcentral describes it as "partial 16S ribosomal RNA". It matches the Rfam family "Bacterial small subunit ribosomal RNA", at positions 341 to 792 of the family's 1533-position model. The record is from RNAcentral. Lineage: Bacteria; Bacillati; Bacillota; Clostridia; Lachnospirales; Lachnospiraceae.
ACGGAAGGCAGCAGUGGGGAAUAUUGGGCAAUGGGGGGAACCCUGACCCAGCAACGCCGCGUGGAGGAAGAAGGUCUUCGGAUCGUAAACUCCUGUCCUCAAAGACGAGAAGAAGACGGUAUUUGAGGAGGGAGCCCCGGCUAACUACGUGCCAGCGGCCGCGGUAAUACGUAUGGAGCAAGCGUUAUCCGGAUUUACUGGGUGUAAAGGGAGCGUAGACGGCAAAGCAAGUCUGAAGUGAAAUCCCGGGGCUCAACCCCGGAACUGCUUUGGAAACUGUUUAGCUAGAGUGCAGGAGAGGUAAGCGGAAUUCCUAGUGUAGCGGUGAAAUGCGUAGAUAUUAGGAGGAACACCAGUGGCGAAGGCGGCUUACUGGACUGUAACUGACGUUGAGGCUCGAAAGCGUGGGGAGCAAACAGGAUUAGAUACCCUGGUA